GUUCUGUAAACUGACGGCUGAUUGUGCGAAAAGCGUGGGGGAUCAAACAGGAUUAGAUACCCUGGUUAGUCCACGCCGUAAAACGAUGAGUGCUAAGUGUUAGGGGGGUUUCCGCCCUUUAGUGCUGCAGCUAACGCAUUAAGCACUCCGCCUGGGGAGUACGACCGCAAGGUUGAAACUCAAAGGAAUUGACGGGGACCCCGCAACAAAGCGGUGGAGCAUGUGGUUUUAAUUCGAAGCAACGCGAAGAACCUUACCAAAUCUUGACAUCCUUUGACCACUCUAGAGAUAGAGAUUUACCCUUCGGGGGACAAAGUGACAGGUGGUGCAUGGUUGUCGUCAGCUCGUGUCGUGAGAUGUUGGGUUAAGUCCCGCAACGAGCGCAACCCUUAAACUUAGUUGCCAGCAUUUAGUUGGGCACUCUAGGUUGACUGCCGGUGACAAACCGGAGGAAGGUGGGGAUGACGUCAAAUCAUCAUGCCCCUUAUGAUUUGGGCUACACACGUGCUACAAUGGACAAUACAAAGGGCAGCUAAACCGCGAGGUCAUGCAAAUCCCAUAAAGUUGUUCUCAGUUCGGAUUGUAGUCUGCAACUCGACUACAUGAAGCUGGAAUCGCUAGUAAUCGUAGAUCAGCAUGGUACGGUGAAUACGUUCCCGGGUCUUGUACACACCGCCCGUCACACCACGAGAGUUUGUAACACCCGAAGCCG
This 712-nucleotide ribosomal RNA is filed under the name Staphylococcus arlettae. RNAcentral's name for it is "bacterial SSU rRNA". It matches the Rfam family "Bacterial small subunit ribosomal RNA", at positions 730 to 1429 of the family's 1533-position model. The record is from RNAcentral. Lineage: Bacteria; Bacillati; Bacillota; Bacilli; Caryophanales; Staphylococcaceae.